GCAUUGGUGGUUCAGUGGUAGAAUUUUUAUUUUCCACACGGGAGACCUUGGUUCAACUCCUGGCCGACGCG
RNAcentral lists this transfer RNA (71 nucleotides) under Loxodonta africana (African savanna elephant). It matches the Rfam family "tRNA". Rfam says of the family: Transfer RNA (tRNA) molecules are approximately 80 nucleotides in length. Their secondary structure includes four short double-helical elements and three loops (D, anti-codon, and T loops). Lineage: Eukaryota; Metazoa; Chordata; Mammalia; Proboscidea; Elephantidae. The record is from Rfam by way of RNAcentral.